UAAGGAAUAUUGGUCAAUGGACGAAAGUCUGAACCAGCCAUGCCGCGUGGAGGAUGAAGGUCCUCUGGAUUGUAAACUUCUUUUAUCUGGGACGAAAAAAGGUCUUUCUAGAUCGUCUGACGGUACCAGAUGAAUAAGCACCGGCUAACUCCGUGCC
Molecule: ribosomal RNA, 157 nt
Filed under: uncultured bacterium
Lineage: Bacteria
Description: partial 16S ribosomal RNA
Rfam family: Bacterial small subunit ribosomal RNA
Source: RNAcentral